Lactuca sativa (garden lettuce) is the source of this 1320-nucleotide long non-coding RNA. RefSeq lists it as uncharacterized. Lineage: Eukaryota; Viridiplantae; Streptophyta; Magnoliopsida; Asterales; Asteraceae. The record is from RefSeq and is a predicted model, not a curated record.
AAUCAAUUCAUUUUUUAUAAUAAAUUCCUCUUUUUAUCAUCAGUUUUUUUCAUCCAUUUCAAAAUAUAGAAUUCUUCUCUUCUUCGUUUCUUUAUCAACGCUUUAUUCAAGGCAUGGCAUGGAAGGAGAAAAGCCAUAGACUAUUUAUGGAACAUGGGAGAGUAAUUUUGAUGAGUUGUCUAACUACAUUGCAGCUUUGCAAGCUUCGAAUCCUGAUACAGUUGUGAAGUGGUUUCAUAAGCCAAAUGACUCCUCAAAUGUUGCAACAUUCAAGGUUCAUAUACGGGGAAAUUUCUUGUUGCUGUCACAAAAGAUGCUAACAAUAAUAUAUUACAUGUUGCAUAUGUUAUUGUCGAUGAAGAGUCAUCACACAGUUGGUGUGCUUUCGGAUAGGCACCAAGUAAUAAUCCAUGUAAUGGAAAAUCUACACUGAAAAGGAAGUUUGUUACAAUUAUGAGAGAAGUCAAAAAACUCAAACUUGAAGCUUAGCAGUAUUUAAAACAAAUCAAUAAAAUUCAGUGGUGUCUUUUAUAUGAUGAAAAUCGUAGAUGGGUAUCUUGACAAAAAAUAUCUUUGAGAGUAUGAACAAUGCGUUGUGGGGAGCAAGACAUCUACCGAUUAGGGCGUGUAUUGACCUUAGAUUCAACAGAACAGUGUAACUUUUUAGAAAGCAUAGUAAUGUUGCAAUAAAUUGCAAUACACCUCUACCAUCACGUAUGUGGUGUCUAUUUUGUAACCGAGACACUCGUGCACAAAGCCAUAAUUUAACUGAGUUUGAUUACAAUGAAGGCGUCUACUAAAUUGUUACAAAGUUAUGGAUAAAUGGCACCAGAGAAAAUACACAUAUUGUCCAUUAUUUUCAACAAACAUGCACAUGUGGAAAAUGGCAAAUGGAAAGAUUCACGUGUUCUCAUGCUCUUUCAGUUUGUCGGUAUAGAGGGGAUAACCCUCUUUCUGUUGUGAAUAAUGUGUACACUACAAUGACGUAUAAACAUCAAAAUAAUGCUCCUUUUGUACCGCUUUCUCAUGUUGAUUAUUGAUUAGAGUCAGAUUGGAAGAUUCAAGAAGAUUACUCGAAACUCUAUGUUCAUCAAGAUCGGAGACGAUCAAACCGUUUUCGUAAUAAGAUGGACAUUCGCCACCCCGACGAACCUCGCAAAUGUGGACUAUGCCACUAACCUGGUCAUAAUCGAAGAAAUUGUUCAAAUUCUCUACCAAGAUACAAUUCCAUGUGAAGUAUGUACUUUUAUUAAUUUAUGCUUAAAUGUGUGCUUAAUUUGCAUUGUUGUUUAAUGCUUAUUUAGUAAUGUAAUGUCAUAU